GAGUUUUGCAGAGAUGUGAAGACACUAGUCUCGUCCUGAAUUGGGAAAAGUGUCACUUUAUGGUUAAUGAAGGCAUUGUCUUGGGGCACAAGAUCUCCGAGAGAGGUAUUGAAGUUGAUAAAGCCAAAGUUGAUGCUAUUGAAAAGAUGCCAUGUCCCAAGGACAUAAAAGGUAUAAGAAGUUUCCUUGGUCACGCCGGUUUUUAUAGGAGGUUCAUUAAGGACUUUUCUAAAAUCUCUAGGCCUCUGACUAAUUUAUUGCAAAAAGAUAUUCCUUUUGUCUUUGAUGAUGAUUGA
This 296-nucleotide ribosomal RNA is filed under the name Triticum aestivum (bread wheat). RNAcentral describes it as "partial small subunit ribosomal RNA". The record is from RNAcentral. Lineage: Eukaryota; Viridiplantae; Streptophyta; Magnoliopsida; Poales; Poaceae.